CUCAUAGUAAACACCAAUUGUAUUCACUAAGAUGAUUACUUGUAUUUAGGAUAAUGUUUAACAGCUUUGUCAGUCUAUUUUUUAUUUUAAAAUCAUCUUCUUUAAUUAUUUCAUAUAUUUUACAUUUAAAAUACCCAAAUGCGGGACAAAGGGAUGAUUUUGUGGGACAUUUGCGGGACAGUGUAGCCUACUUGAGUAAAAAGCCCCCUCCCGCUGUACCAUACAAGCUAAUUGAAGUGUGCCUAUAGGCUAUGCAAUCGCCUUGACAACAUUUGGUCAUGCAGGAAACAGAUCAAAUGUGUGUCUGUUUUCUGAAAAUCUGGGAAUACUUGGCCAAGGAAACAUUUCUGGUUGGUCUCCAGGAAUGGAAAACAAUUAAGAAAGGAGAAUUUGGAAACCGGAUUGAGUGAAGUAGCAGCAAAUAUGUUAAGUGAGCAACUAAUGAGCAUGGAGGGCCUAACAAGUUUGACAAAAUCACCUUACAUCUUUUCAGUUUCAUCAACUUAUAUACACUGAACAAAAAUAUAAACACAACAUGCAACAAUUUCAAAGGUUUUACUGAGUUACAGUUCAUUUAAGGAAAUCUGUCAAUUUAAAUCAAUUCAUUAGGCCCUAAUCUAUGGAUUUCAGAAAACCAGUCAGUAUCUGGUGUGACCACCAUUUUCCUCAUGCAGCGCGACACAUCUCCUUCGCAUUGAGUUGAUCAGGCUGUUGAUUGUGGCCUGUGGAAGGUUGUCCCACUCCUCUUCAAUGGCUGUGUACAGUUUCUGGAUAUUGGUGGAAACUGGAACACGCUGUCGUACAAGUCGAUCCAAAGCAUCCCAUCAGCUUCCAGGAAUUGUGUACAGAUCCUUGCAACAUGGGGUUGUGCAUUAUCAUUCUGAAACAUGAGGCGAUGGCGCCGGAUGAAUGGCAUGACAAUGGGCCUCACGAUCACGUCACAGUAUCUCUGUGCAUUCAAAUUGUCAUUGAUAAAAUGCAAUUGUGUACGUUGUCAGUAGCUUAUGCCUUCCCAUACAUAACCCCACCGCCACCAUGGGGCAGUCCAUUCACAACGUUGACAUCAGCAAACCGCUCGCCUACACAAUGCCAUACAAGCUGUCUGCCUUCUGCCCGGUACAGUUGAAACUGGGAUUCAUCCGUGAAGAGCACAUUUCUCCAGUGUGCCAGUGGCCAUUGAAGGUGAGCAUUUGCCCACUGAACUGAAGUCAGUUACCACGCCGAACUGCAGUCACGUCAAGACUCUUGUGAGGAUGAUGAGUACGCAGAUGAGCUUCCCUGAGAUGGUUUCUGACAGUUUGUGCAGAAAUUCUUUGGUUGUGCAAACCCACAGUUUCAUCAGCUGUCUGGGUGGCUGGUCUCAGACAAUCCCGCAGGUGAAGAAGCCGGAUGUGGAGGUCCGGUUACACAUGGUCUGCGGUUGUGGUGUCUGUUGGACAUACUGUCAAAUUCUCCAAAACAAUGUUGGAGGCGGUUUAUGGUAGAGAAAUUAACAUUAAAUUAUCUGGCAACAGUUCUAGUAGACAUUCCAGCAGUCAGCCAGCCAAUUGCACAUUCCCUAAAAACUUGCAACAUCUGUGGCUUUGAGUUGUAUGACAAAACUGCACAUUUUAGAGUGGCCUUUUAUUGUCCCCAGCACAAGGUGCACCUGUGUAAUGAUCAUGAUUUUUAAUCAUCUUCUUGCUAUGCAACACCUGUCAGUUUAAUGGAUUAUCUUGGCAAAGAAGAAAUGCUCACUAACAGGGAUGCAAACAAAUUUGUGCACAUUUGAGAGAAAUAAUAUUUUUGUGCGUAUGGAACAUUUUGUUGAUCUUUUAUUCCAGCUCAUUAAACAUGGGACCAACACUUUACAUGUAGUGAUUAUAUUUUUGUUCAAGAUACUUACUUUUGUAGCUCUUGAUCAGAAGUUCAAGUUCAGUUGGAAUUUAGACCGAAAGGAUUUGACAAAUGUGAUUGGUUGGCAAUAUGACAUUAGCCUUGCUCUGCGCAGAAUAUCAGAUCUCAACAACGAUUGGAGAAGUGUUUAACAUCACCAGUACCACAUCCUUAUGAUAUACAUCUUGUCAAAAGCGCACCGUGACUGCAAACAGAGAUCUGUAUAUAAUGACGAGAUGCUUAUGUCUCCGCCCUAACAAUGGGAGUCAGGCAAAAAGCUUAGGUCCCGCAUUGGGCUUAUUUUGGACAGAUUUUGGCGAGUGAAACCUCUCGCUUCACCUCUUCCUCUCUGCUGCAAAAUUGACAGGUUGGAAUGCCUGACUGAAAUACGGAACAAAUCAAACUUUUUAGUAAAUGACUUGUGUUAGAAUUUCUUUUAGAAAAUGAGGGACAUGAUUGUUUGGUUGCGGGACAAAGGGCCAUGUGGUUACCCUAGUGAUAAGGCCACACAAUGGUCCAGAGAUGAUUACAGACACCUGUGAUAAUCUGAAGUACCCAAAAGGGCCACUAGAUGUCUGAUAGAUUAUAUAAAAUCCCUGAAAGAUACCAACAUUCUGGUAGUUUACUGGUAAAAUUAGAAAGUUUCCAGUAAUAUACCCUCCCUUUGCAACCCUAAUUAAUAGGCUAUGUCAGACUUUGAGGGAAAACUUUCAUACCAGUAACCUGAAUGUGAAAGUGUUAAUACCUGGGCAACGAGAAAAAGGGAGAGGUGAUAAUUCAUUCAGCCCUGUCUUUAAAAUAAAAACAGGUGUCUCUCUGUUUGUAAAUUCUACAAUGACCUUUAUGGAGAGUCUCCUCUGAUGAAAUAUUCAUGGAGCCAGUACACAAUAUGCCAUAGAGGCUAGCGGCCUAAUUGGCUGCAGUUACAUUCUGACUGAGGGUGUCUCUUUUCUCUCUGUCUCAUUGUCUGCUGUCUGCACCGAGCUGGGUCCUGCUCUCCUGUCUAAGUGGUCUGGUCUCUGUGAAAAGCACAUCUGAGGACUAACGUGGGUUUAUAUCCUGCAGACAGACAGAUUCUGUCUUUUAAUGACAGCCACGUAAGAAGAAAUGAUAAAAGUAGGGUGCUAUACAUUGUGAUGGGUGUAGUAGUCAAAAUGUUGUCUUGCCCGACCCAAGCCUCUGUGUCCCUGUAGGGCGUCGUUAGGGGAUCAAAUCAAAUCAAAUAUUAUUUGUCACAUGCCCCAAAUACAACAGGUGUACACUUGCUUGCAUACAAGCCCUUAACCAACAAUGCAGUUUUAAGAAAAAUAAGUGUUAAGAAAGUAUUUACUAAAAUAAACUGAAGUAAAAAAUAAAGAAAAUAAAAAAUAGAAAAAGAAAAUAGAAAAAUGACAAAUAAUUAAAGAGCAGCAGUAAAUAACAGUAGCGAGGCUAUAUACAGGGGAUACCUGUACAGAGUCAAUGUACGGGGGCACAGGUUAGUCGAGGUAAUUGAGGUAAUAUGUACAUAGGUACGUAGGUAGAGGUAUAGUGACUAUGCAUAGAUAAUAAACAGAGAGUAGCAGCAGCGUUAAAAUGGGGGUGGGGCGGGGGUCAAUGCAAAUAGUCCGGGUAGCCAUUUCAUUAGCUGUUCAGGAGUCUUAUGGCUUGGGGGUAGAAGCUGUUGGCGCUCCGGUACCGCUUGCCGUGCGGUAGCAGAGAGAACAGUCUAUGACUAGGGUGGCUGGAUUUUUAGGGCCUUCCUGCCACCGCCUGGUAUAGAGGUCCUGGAUGGCAAGCUUGGCCACAGUGAUGUAUUGGGCCGUACACACUACCCUCUAUAGUGUCUUGCGGUCGGAGGCCGGGAAGUUUCCAUACCAGGCGGUGAUGCAACCAGUCAGGAUGCUCUCGAUGGUGCAGCUGUAGAACUUUUUGAGGAUCUGAGGACCCAUGACAAAUCUUUUCAGUCUCCUGAGGGGGAACAGGCAUUGUCGUGCCCUCUUCACGACUGUCUUGGUGUGUUUGGACCACAAUAGUGUGUUGGUGAUGUGGACACCAAGGAACUUGAAGCUCUCAACCUGCUCCACUACAGCCCCAUCGAUGAGAAUGGGGGCGUGCUCGGCCCUCCUUUUCCUGUAGUCCACGAUCAUCUCUGGCACCACACUGCCAGGUCUCUGACCACCUCCCUAUAGGCUGUCUCAUUGUGAUAAGGCCACUGAUGUAUCGUCGGCAAACUUAAUGAUGGUGUUGGAGUCGUGCUUGGCCAUACAGUCAUGAGGGAACAGGGAGUACAGGAGGGGACUAAGCACGCACCCCUGAGGGGCCCCCGUGUUGAGGAUCAGUGUGGCAGAUGUGUUGUUACCUACCCUUACCACCUGGGGAUGGCAUGUCAAGAAGUCCAGGAUCCAGUUGCAGGUGUUCAGUCCCAGGGUCCUUAGCUUAGUGAGGAUCUUGGAGGGCACUAUGGUGUUGAAUGCUGAGCUGUAGUCAAUGAAUAGCAUUCUCACGUAGGUGUUCCUUUUGUCCAGAUGGGAAAGGGCUGUGUGGAGUGCAAUAGAGAUUGUGUCAUCUGUGGAUCUGUUGGGGCGGUAUGCAAAUUGGAGUGGGUCUUGGGUUUCUGGGAUAAUGGUGUUGAUGUGAGCCAUGACCAGCCUUUCAAAGCACUUCAUGGCUACAGACGUUAGGGCUACGGGUCUGUAGUCAUUUAGGCAGGUUACCUUGGUGUUCUUGGGCACAGGGACUAUGGUGGUCUGCUUGAAACAUGUUGGUAUUACAGACUCAGUCAGGGACAGGUUGAAAAUGUCAGUGAAGACACUUGCCAGUUGAUCAGCGCAUGCUCGGAGUACACGUCCUAGUAAUCCUGUCUAUGAAUGUUGACCUGUUUAAAGGUCUUACUCAUAUUGGCUACCUUAAACAGGUCAACAUUCACAAGGGGUUAACCUACCUCCUCUUCCCUCCCUGCCAGUCGGUCCUGGCAUUGUGAGUGAGCGUGAUGGCACUCAGAACGUCUUUUCUCCGUGUGUCUCUGUGCCCCUUGGUGGGCUGUCAUCACUCCCUGGCAUUGGGAACACAGCACAGCUGCAGGGGAACCGCUCAGCGGGGGACCUUCGUUUCCAUCUGUCUCCUAUUCAGGGUGGCACCUAUUUAGAGCAGCUCAGCGGCUGUGCAUGCCAUGAGCCAUGAGAGGGAGGGAGGGAGCGCUCGAGAGUGAUGGAGAGAGAGACAGGGAGAGAGGGAGAGGGAGAAAGGAGGAGAAAAGAGGGGGAGAAACUCUAGGAGACUACACCUGUGGUAGUUGUGGUUUUACUCCCACUGCUUGUUAGAUGUCAGGUUGUCUAUAAAAGUAACACUAGGAAGUUGUUUGCCAACUGGGGCACUUGGUUUAUGGUGAACAGACAUAAUGAGCAAAAUAAAAACACUGAACAUUGAAAUAGAAAUGUUUCUUCUGCACAUUACACUCUUAGAAAAAAAGGUGCCAUCUAGAACCUAAAACGGUUCUUCGGCUGUCCCCAUAGGAGAACCCUUUGAAGAACCCUCGUUGGUUCCAGGUAGAACCGUUUUGGGUUCCAUGAAUAACCCUGUCCACAGAGUGUUCUACAUGUAACCCAAAAUGGUUCU
This 5472-nucleotide long non-coding RNA is filed under the name Salmo salar (Atlantic salmon). RNAcentral's name for it is "lncRNA (ENSSSAG00000090376.1)". Lineage: Eukaryota; Metazoa; Chordata; Actinopteri; Salmoniformes; Salmonidae. The record is from RNAcentral.